This 191-nucleotide ribosomal RNA is filed under the name uncultured bacterium. Its description in RNAcentral is "partial 16S ribosomal RNA". It matches the Rfam family "Bacterial small subunit ribosomal RNA", at positions 338 to 521 of the family's 1533-position model. The record is from RNAcentral.
CCUACGGGAGGCAGCAGUAGGGAAUAUUGGACAAUGGGCGAAAGCCUGAUCCAGCAAUGCCGCGUGUGUGAAGAAGGCCUUCGGGUUGUAAAGCACUUUCAGUCAGGAGGAAAGGGUGUGAGUUAAUACCUCACAUCUGUGACGUUACUGACAGAAGAAGCACCGGCUAACUCCGUGCCAGCAGCCGCGGU